This 424-nucleotide ribosomal RNA is filed under the name uncultured bacterium. RNAcentral describes it as "bacterial SSU rRNA". It matches the Rfam family "Bacterial small subunit ribosomal RNA", at positions 355 to 796 of the family's 1533-position model. The record is from RNAcentral.
UGGGGAAUAUUGGACAAUGGGGGCAACCCUGAUCCAGCCAUGCCGCGUGAGUGAUGAAGGCCUUCGGGUUGUAAAGCUCUUUUGUCAGGGAAGAUGAUGACGGUACCUGAAGAAUAAGCCCCGGCUAACUUCGUGCCAGCAGCCGCGGUAAUACGAAGGGGGCUAGCGUUGUUCGGAAUUACUGGGCGUAAAGGGUGCGUAGGUGGCUUAGUACGUCAGGAGUGAAAUCCCCAGGCUCAACCUGGGAAUUGCUUUUGAGACUACUAAGCUUGAGUACAGGAGAGGUGAGUGGAAUUCCCAGUGUAGAGGUAAAAUUCGUAGAUAUUGGGAGGAACACCAGUGGCGAAGGCGGCUCACUGGCCUGUAACUGACACUGAGGCACGAAAGCGUGGGGAGCAAACAGGAUUAGAUACCCGCGUAGUCC